Molecule: non-coding RNA, 90 nt
Organism: Marchantia polymorpha subsp. ruderalis
Lineage: Eukaryota; Viridiplantae; Streptophyta; Marchantiopsida; Marchantiales; Marchantiaceae
Source: the annotation of a GenBank genome assembly
UGUCCGGGACUUGGCCGAACUGUGGAUCAUUCGUACCUUUCGUAGGAUGUAAACCUGUGACUUAUCCACUGUCCAGCCAAAUCCCAGACG